GCCAGCAGCCGCGGUAAUACAGAGGGUGCAAGCGUUAAUCGGAAUUACUGGGCGUAAAGGGCGCGUAGGCGGUGAGAUGUGUGUGAUGUGAAAGCCCUGGGCUUAACCUAGGAAGUGCAUCGCAAACUGUCUUGCUGGAGUAUAUGAGAGGGUGGCGGAAUUUCCGGUGUAGCGGUGAAAUGCGUAGAGAUCGGAAGGAACGUCGAUGGCGAAGGCAGCCACCUGGCAUAAUACUGACGCUGAGGCGCGAAAGCGUGGGGAGCGAACAGGAUUAGAUACCCUGGUAGUCCACGCUGUAAACGAUGAGUACUAAAUGUUGGUAGGGGAACCUAUCGGUAUUGAAGUUAACACGAUAAGUACUCCGCCUGGGAAGUACGGCCGCAAGGUUGAAACUCAAAUGAAUUGACGGGGGCCCGCACAAGCGGUGGAGCAUGUGGUUUAAUUCGAUGCAACGCGAAGAACCUUACCUACCCUUGACAUCCUGCGAAUCUGGCUGAGAGGCUGGAGUGCCGAAAGGAGCGCAGAGACAGGUGCUGCAUGGCUGUCGUCAGCUCGUGUUGUGAGAUGUUGGGUUAAGUCCCGUAACGAGCGCAACCCUUGUCCUUAGUUGCCAUCAUUUAGUUGGGGACUCUAAGGAGACUGCCGGUGAGGAACCGGAGGAAGGCGGGGACGACGUCAAGUCACCAUGGCCUUUAUGGGUAGGGCUACACACGUGCUACAAUGGGGCGUACAGAGGGUCGCGAACCCGCGAGGGGGAGCCAAUCUCAUAAAGCGUCUCGUAGUCCGGAUUGGAGUCUGCAACUCGACUCCAUGAAGUGGAAUCG
RNAcentral lists this ribosomal RNA (824 nucleotides) under uncultured bacterium. RNAcentral describes it as "bacterial SSU rRNA". It matches the Rfam family "Bacterial small subunit ribosomal RNA", at positions 507 to 1334 of the family's 1533-position model. The record is from RNAcentral.